AAAUUGAAGAGUUUGAUCAUGGCUCAGAUUGAACGCUGGCGGCAGGCCUAACACAUGCAAGUCGAACGGUAGCACAGAGAGCUUGCUCUCGGGUGACGAGUGGCGGACGGGUGAGUAAUGUCUGGGAAACUGCCUGAUGGAGGGGGAUAACUACUGGAAACGGUGGCUAAUACCGCAUAACGUCGCAAGACCAAAGAGGGGGACCUUCGGGCCUCUUGCCAUCAGAUGUGCCCAGAUGGGAUUAGCUAGUUGGUGAGGUAACGGCUCACCAAGGCGACGAUCCCUAGCUGGUCUGAGAGGAUGACCAGCCACACUGGAACUGAGACACGGUCCAGACUCCUACGG
Molecule: ribosomal RNA, 345 nt
Filed under: Salmonella enterica
Lineage: Bacteria; Pseudomonadati; Pseudomonadota; Gammaproteobacteria; Enterobacterales; Enterobacteriaceae
Description: bacterial SSU rRNA
Rfam family: Bacterial small subunit ribosomal RNA
Source: RNAcentral